Molecule: ribosomal RNA, 524 nt
Filed under: Bacteroides sp. CJ89
Lineage: Bacteria; Pseudomonadati; Bacteroidota; Bacteroidia; Bacteroidales; Bacteroidaceae
Description: bacterial SSU rRNA
Rfam family: Bacterial small subunit ribosomal RNA
Source: RNAcentral
AGAGUUUGAUCUGGCUCAGGAUGAACGCUAGCUACAGGCUUAACACAUGCAAGUCGAGGGGCAUCAGUUUGGUUUGCUUGCAAACCAAAGCUGGCGACCGGCGCACGGGUGAGUAACACGUAUCCAACCUGCCUCAUACUCGGGGAUAGCCUUUCGAAAGAAAGAUUAAUAUCCGAUAGCAUAUAUUUCCCGCAUGGGUUUUAUAUUAAAGAAAUUCGGUAUGAGAUGGGGAUGCGUUCCAUUAGUUUGUUGGGGGGGUAACGGCCCACCAAGACUACGAUGGAUAGGGGUUCUGAGAGGAAGGUCCCCCACAUUGGAACUGAGACACGGUCCAAACUCCUACGGGAGGCAGCAGUGAGGAAUAUUGGUCAAUGGACGCGAGUCUGAACCAGCCAAGUAGCGUGAAGGAUGACUGCCCUAUGGGUUGUAAACUUCUUUUAUAUGGGAAUAAAGUUGUCCACGUGUGGAUUUUUGUAUGUACCAUAUGAAUAAGGAUCGGCUAACUCCGUGCCAGCAGCCGCGGU